RNAcentral lists this long non-coding RNA (388 nucleotides) under Physcomitrium patens. RNAcentral describes it as "long non-coding RNA (PPAT_LNC009777)". Lineage: Eukaryota; Viridiplantae; Streptophyta; Bryopsida; Funariales; Funariaceae. The record is from RNAcentral.
AGUCAAAAAUACUUUUGGACGCAGCAAGAGAGGCAGUGCACCCGGUAGAGGAAGCCGCACUGGAAUUCUAGGCAUCAAAUGUUUCCUCGUCCCCAUCGAGUUGUGUCUUGCCCCACUCAAGCCUUCCCCUGGUAAAGCUUGAGACAUGCAAAGGAGAAGUAGGAAAACCAGCUUCAGGAUCCUAGGCGCCAUGCUGCAAAAGAAGGCUGCAUAAAAGGGUGAAAGGUGAUAAUAAACAAUACCUCGUCCCCUUGCCUCUCUUCAUGCUGUACCCACUCCACUUCGACUCCACUUUGACUCCAUUUCCUAUGAACAGUGUCCAACUCCAGAUUGCUAUAUUCACUCCACUUCAUCUGCACACUUACCACACUUCAUCUGCGCAUUUUGC